GAUGAACGCUGGCGGCGUGCUUAACACAUGCAAGUCGAACGGAAAGGCCCUGCUGUUGUGGGGUGCUCGAUUGGCGAACGGGUGAGUAACACGGGAGUAUCCUGCCCUUGACUUUGGGAUAACUUCAGGAAACUGGGGCUAAUAUCGGAUAGGAUCUCCUGCUGCAUGGUGGGGGGUGGAAAGUUUCGGCGGUUGGGGAUGGACUCGCGGCUUAUCAGCUUGUUGGUGGGGUAGUGGCUUACCAAGGCUUUGACGGGUAGCCGGCCUGAGAGGGUGACCGGCCACAUUGGGACUGAGAUACGGCCCAGACUCCUACGGGAGGCAGCAGUGGGGAAUAUUGCACAAUGGGCGGAAGCCUGAUGCAGCAACGCCGCGUGCGGGAUGACGGCCUUCGGGUUGUAAACCGCUUUCGCCUGUGACGAAGCGUGAGUGACGGUAAUGGGUAAAGAAGCACCGGCUAACUACGUG
Molecule: ribosomal RNA, 468 nt
Filed under: uncultured bacterium
Lineage: Bacteria
Description: partial 16S ribosomal RNA
Rfam family: Bacterial small subunit ribosomal RNA
Source: RNAcentral